This 125-nucleotide ribosomal RNA is filed under the name Pelobates cultripes (western spadefoot toad). RNAcentral describes it as "SSU_rRNA_eukarya". Lineage: Eukaryota; Metazoa; Chordata; Amphibia; Anura; Pelobatidae. The record is from RNAcentral.
AUAACAAUACAGGACUCUUUAGAGGUCCUGUAAUUGUAAUGAGUCCACUUGAAAUCCUUUAAUUCUGAUCAAUUGGAGGGCAAGUCUGGUGCAGAGCGACUGACCUGUGCGUGCUGCAGCUGAAA